Molecule: long non-coding RNA, 2130 nt
Organism: Bubalus bubalis (water buffalo)
Lineage: Eukaryota; Metazoa; Chordata; Mammalia; Artiodactyla; Bovidae
Exons: 3
Source: RefSeq, a predicted model, not a curated record
CCUGGAGCCGGAGCACCCAGAGCAAGCAGGCUUCCCUUUCUGACCAAUUGCGUAGGCCCAGGACUCUGAGUGGGUGGAGUCGGGUGCUAGGGCUAACGCGAUUGACUAACGGAAACGGUCCUCUCCACCAAUGAGGAGGUGCGGCAGGAUAGAGGGGCGGGGCCUGGCGGUAGCGCUCCUGGGAAGUCUCUGGCCGUCGAGGCAACGAAAGAAAGGUCUUGAAAGUCGUUGGCUGUGGUGGAAGCGCGGCUGGAUGCUGCAGGCAGGUACCAGAGGUACAGAGCACUUGACCAUGGAAUGAAAUGUGAUUCUGUGUCCAGACUACAAAUUAUUACCUAAAUUCUGCCAUAUCAACUAAGUCAUAUGGCCUGUCACAGUUCAUUGUAAGAUGGAAAUUCUACCUUUUGGAUCAGGUACAAGCAGGGCCAGAGGAUACAAGUAAUCACCAUAAACCAGUUUCCCACUUGCCCCUGUCACCUAUCCUUUUGUACCAUCACUUCUCCAAGUCACAUCUCAGGAUGGUUUAUCGUGACCAGCUGAAGGAAAAGAAAACAAGUCAAACUUGACUUCUGAAUGCAUAUAUCAGUACAACCUUGAAAUGGACUUCCUCUGUACUAUAGCACCACUCUAUUAGGAUCAAGAGUGACCCUGAGAGAUAAUAAUAAAGGGAAAUACACCUGGCAUUUGGAACAUCUGACUACAGCAAGUGCACCCAAUAGUUAGAGCUUGAAGUGGUAUUCCUGGUAAUACAUUUUGUGUUAAAAAAGUGCUCUGAAGUAAAAAUGUCUACAGACUCCUAGGAAAUUUGGAAGAAUAAAUAGUUAGAAGGCUGGAUUGAGAAAUAAUGGAAACUUGGGAAAAGGAAAUCUGGGAAAGAAACAUGUGGUUAACUUAAAGCAGAGGGCACAAGUGUAAAGAUGUUUACAUUUACCAUUAAUAUUCAGCAGAGAGCACUGAACAUAGAAGGAACAUGGCACAACCAGUUAGACAGAAUGGAUUGACUGGCAGUCAUCAUCUGUCACUGGUCACCUCCAGUGGUAGAACAAAUGUCAGAUGUAUGCAGUAGACUUGGGAGUAGAGAUGGAGGUUUUGCAUGGUCUCAAUUCCUUGGGUUCCCACAUACAAAGGCUACUCUUGCUACUGCUACUGUGGAAUGUCCUACAUUCCAGACAGAGCUGAUACAAUUCCAUCCUUUGAGAAGACCAUCCAGACAUUUAAUGGCACGUUAGUUACAUUGGACCUCUUUCAUUCUGAAAGGAUCUACAAUUCAUCAUGAUUGGAACUGACAUGUAUUCAGCCAGUUUUCUUUAAGAGAUUACCUUCUCUGCUUGCAGGACCUCAGCCAUCAAAGCUAACUGAGUGUUCACAAAAUAAUUUAUAUGCAAGAAAAGGACCUUAAACUAUCACAUCAAACAAUGUAUACAGUAAUGGGGUGAAGCUGUGGGCACAUGGCCAUCGCAUCCACUAUUCUUCUUACAUACCACAGGACACAGAAGUUGUAUGUCUAACUAAGUGAUGAAACAGGUUUUGAAGGUGCUGCUGAGUUGCUGAUUUGGAGAUAAUACCAGCAAAGAUUGGAUGUCUUUCUGCAAGAGAUAGCAAAUGCCCUAAGCGAGUGGGUCCAUAUCUGUAGUGCCACUGGAUCAGAUGGUCAACAAUAAUUGAAGAGGAAAGAAACAGGCCGAACUGACUCCAUCUUGAAAAAGAAGGAAAUUCCAUCUUGCACUUUCAGUGAACUUUGCACUACAUGCCUGGUAGCCAUGGGGAUAGCAUACCUAUGGCCGAACUGGCCUCCUGGACUGAUCAACACCAGAUUCCAUACCAAGAUUUCCCGUCGCCAAAAAGAAUGUAAUAAUCUCCUAUAUAGUCAAUCACCUUUGUAAUCUUUAUGGCUCCCAUUGGCGUAGGCUACAAUAUAUAACCAGCUGACCCUUCUGAUUAUGAAUCAUGGCUGUAACCUGAUUGAAUCUCCCUUUAACACUUUCCAGCCUAGGUUUAAGGAAUUUGGGGAUGUGGGCUUGCGCAGUACACUUAAGGUAUCUAAGGUUUUCACAAAAGUCAGUCGGGGUCCCUGGCUAAAGAGGAAACUCUGCCUCGGACCCACCGGUGUAAUAAACUGUACUCCACUAU